Molecule: ribosomal RNA, 473 nt
Filed under: uncultured organism
Description: partial 16S ribosomal RNA
Rfam family: Bacterial small subunit ribosomal RNA
Source: RNAcentral
UACACUCCUACGGGAGGCAGCAGUGAGGAAUAUUGGACAAUGGGUGGAAGCCUGAUCCAGCCAUCCCGCGUGCAGGAAGACGGCCCUAUGGGUUGUAAACUGCUUUUAUCUGGGGAUAAACCUACUUACGUGUAAGUAGCUGAAGGUACCAGAAGAAUAAGCACCGGCUAACUCCGUGCCAGCAGCCGCGGUAAUACGGAGGGUGCAAGCGUUAUCCGGAUUUAUUGGGUUUAAAGGGUCCGUAGGCGGACUGAUAAGUCAGUGGUGAAAUCCGACAGCUUAACUGUCGAACUGCCAUUGAUACUGUUAGUCUUGAGUAAGGUUGAAGUGGCUGGAAUAAGUAGUGUAGCGGUGAAAUGCAUAGAUAUUACUUAGAACACCAAUUGCGAAGGCAGGUCACUAAGUCUUAACUGACGCUGAUGGACGAAAGCGUGGGGAGCGAACAGGAUUAGAAACCCUUGUAGUCCCAUGAU